CUGACGAGUGGCGGACGGGUGAGUAAUGUCUGGGAAACUGCCCGGUGGAGGGGGAUAACUACUGGAAACGGUAGCUAAUACCGCAUAACGUCGCAAGACCAAAGAGGGGGACCUUCGGGCCUCUUGCCACCGGAUGUGCCCAGAUGGGAUUAGCUUGUUGGUGGGGUAACGGCUCACCAAGGCGACGAUCCCUAGCUGGUCUGAGAGGAUGACCAGCCACACUGGAACUGAGACACGGUCCAGACUCCUACGGAAGGCAGCAG
RNAcentral lists this ribosomal RNA (263 nucleotides) under uncultured bacterium. RNAcentral describes it as "partial 16S ribosomal RNA". It matches the Rfam family "Bacterial small subunit ribosomal RNA", at positions 88 to 354 of the family's 1533-position model. The record is from RNAcentral.